RNAcentral lists this transfer RNA (84 nucleotides) under bacterium. Its description in RNAcentral is "tRNA-Tyr". The record is from RNAcentral.
GCGUCGGUAGUCCCGUAGGGUGCGGGGGGGGUCUGUAAAACCCUUGUCCAAGUGGCCCAGUGAGUUCGACUCUCACCCGACGCA